GAUGAACGCUGGCGGCGUGCCUAAUACAUGCAAGUCGAGCGAACGGACGAGAAGCUUGCUUCUCUGAUGUUAGCGGCGGACGGGUGAGUAACACGUGGAUAACCUACCUAUAAGACUGGGAUAACUUCGGGAAACCGUAGCUAAUACCGGAUAAUACUUUGAACCGCAUGGUUCAAAAGUGAAAGACGGUCUUGCUGUCGCUUAUAGAUGGAUCCGCGUUGCAUUAGCUAGUUGGUAAGGUAACGGCUUACCAAGGCAACGAUGCAUAGCCGAGCUGAGAGGGUGAUCAGCCACACUGGAACUGAGACACGGUCCAGACUCCUACGGGAGGCAGCAGUAGGGAAUCUUCGGCAAUGGGCGAAAGCCUGACGGAGCAACGCCGCGUGAGUGAUGAAGGUCUUCGGAUCGUAAAGCUCUGUUAUUGGGGAAGAACAUAUGUGUAAGUAACUGUGCACAUCUUGACGGUACCUAAUCAGAAAGCCACGGCUAACUACGUG
RNAcentral lists this ribosomal RNA (497 nucleotides) under uncultured bacterium. RNAcentral's name for it is "partial 16S ribosomal RNA". It matches the Rfam family "Bacterial small subunit ribosomal RNA", at positions 28 to 507 of the family's 1533-position model. The record is from RNAcentral.